This 368-nucleotide ribosomal RNA is filed under the name uncultured organism. RNAcentral describes it as "bacterial SSU rRNA". It matches the Rfam family "Bacterial small subunit ribosomal RNA", at positions 526 to 896 of the family's 1533-position model. The record is from RNAcentral.
CGGAGGAUCCAAGCGUUAUCCGGAUUCAUUGGGUUUAAAGGGUGCGUAGGCGGAACGAUAAGUCAGUGGUGAAAGCCUGCAGCUUAACUGCAGAACUGCCAUUGAUACUGUCGAUCUUGAGUACAUUUGAUGAGGGCGGAAUGUGUCAUGUAGCGGUGAAAUGCUUAGAUAUGACACAGAACACCGAUUGCGAAGGCAGCUCUCAAAACUGUAACUGACGCUGAGGCACGAAAGCGUGGGUAUCAAACAGGAUUAGAUACCCUGGUAGUCCACGCUGUAAACUAUGAUUACUCGAUGUUUGCGAUACACUGUAAGCGUCUAAGCGAAAGCGAUAAGUAAUCCACCUGGGGAGUACGCUCGCAAGAGUG